Long non-coding RNA from Diprion similis, 423 nucleotides. RefSeq lists it as uncharacterized. The transcript is spliced from 2 exons. The record is from RefSeq and is a predicted model, not a curated record. NCBI's taxonomy places the organism in Eukaryota, Metazoa, Arthropoda, Insecta, Hymenoptera, Diprionidae.
UCAAAUAAUACCCAAACAAAAAUAUGGAGAAUGGGGGGAUUUGAAUGUUGCGAAUAAUUAUCGUAUCAUGUAUACAAGGGCAGACGAAUGAGACGCGCGCGGCGAGUAUUGGAGAAAAACAAAAAAUACAAAAUCAAGGCAACGCGAGAUAAUAUGGAAGAGAUGGAGAGGAAACCACAGAGUUUGUUAUAUAAACCGAAACGCUGCUAAUCAACCGUGAUUCGACCCCGGCGCGACUAAAGAUAAGUUACAUCCGCCUAAUUCCAGCUAAGAAAAGAAAAAAAAAUCAUGCGUAGGCGGAUGAGUCUUUAUGGUACUAUAACAAGUAUUUUCAAGCCUGCUGUAAGACUGGUUUACAUCAUGCGAAUAUAUAAAAUCAUACAGACAAAUCCUACGCAAAUAUAUAAAAAAUGAAAAAAAAGA